AGAGUUUGAUCCUGGCUCAGAACGAACGCUGGCGGCAGGCCUAACACAUGCAAGUCGAACGAAAAGCCACCUUCGGGUGGUGGACAGUGGCAGACGGGUGAGUAACGCGUGGGAACGUGCCUUUCGGUUCGGGAUAACCCAGGGAAACUUGGGCUAAUACCGGAUACGCCCUCCGGGGGAAAGAUUCAUUGCCGAAAGAUCGGCCCGCGUCGGAUUAGCUAGUUGGUGGGGUAAAAGCCUACCAAGGCGACGAUCCGUAGCUGGUCUGAGAGGAUGACCAGCCACACUGGGACUGAGACACGGCCCAGACUCCUACGGGAGGCAGCAGUGGGGAAUAUUGGACAAUGGGCGCAAGCCUGAUCCAGCCAUGCCGCGUGGGUGAAGAAGGCCCUAGGGUUGUAAACCCCUUUCAGCGGGGAAGAUAAUGACGGUACCCGCAGAAGAGCC
RNAcentral lists this ribosomal RNA (447 nucleotides) under uncultured Microvirga sp. RNAcentral's name for it is "bacterial SSU rRNA". It matches the Rfam family "Bacterial small subunit ribosomal RNA", at positions 8 to 491 of the family's 1533-position model. The record is from RNAcentral. Lineage: Bacteria; Pseudomonadati; Pseudomonadota; Alphaproteobacteria; Hyphomicrobiales; Methylobacteriaceae.